GACGAACGCUGGCGGCGUGCCUAAUACAUGCAAGUCGAACGCUUCUUUUCUACCGAGUGCUUGCACUCACCAGGAAAGAGGAGUGGCGGACGGGUGAGUAACACGUGGGUAACCUGCCCAUUAGAAGGGGAUAACACUUGGAAACAGGUGCUAAUACCGUAUAAUUGUUUUGUCGCAUGACAGAAAUAUGAAAGACGCUUUCGGGUGUCGCUAAUGGAUGGACCCGCGGUGCAUUAGUUAGUUGGUGAGGUAAUGGCUCACCAAGACUGUGAUGCAUAGCCGACCUGAGAGGGUGAUCGGCCACACUGGGACUGAGACACGGCCCAAACUCCUACGGAGGCAGCAGUGGGGAAUAUUGCACAAUGGGGGAAACCCUGAUGCAGCAACGCCGCGUGAAGGAAGAAGGUUUUCGGAUCGUAAACUUCUAUCGAUAGGGAAGAAAAAAUAGACGGUACCUAAGUAAGAAGCCCGGCUAACUACGUG
RNAcentral lists this ribosomal RNA (483 nucleotides) under uncultured Enterococcaceae bacterium. RNAcentral's name for it is "bacterial SSU rRNA". It matches the Rfam family "Bacterial small subunit ribosomal RNA", at positions 28 to 507 of the family's 1533-position model. The record is from RNAcentral. Lineage: Bacteria; Bacillati; Bacillota; Bacilli; Lactobacillales; Enterococcaceae.